AGGGGUGUAGCUCAGUGGUAAAGCGUGUGCUUAGCAUGCACAAGGCCCUUGGUUCAAUUUUCAGUAUCUCCC
Ictidomys tridecemlineatus (thirteen-lined ground squirrel) is the source of this 72-nucleotide non-coding RNA. The record is from Rfam. Lineage: Eukaryota; Metazoa; Chordata; Mammalia; Rodentia; Sciuridae.